UGCUAUGAGUGUGGCGAGAAAGGCCACUAUGCUUAUGAUUGCCAUCGUUAUAGUCGCCGAAGGAGGAGCAGGUCCCGGUCUCGAUCCCGUUCGAGGUCCCGAGGAAGAAGGUAUUCUCGAUCACGYAGUCGUAGUCGUGGUAGGAGGUCAAGAUCAGCUUCUUAUCGUAGAUCCAGGUCCAUCUCUCCUCGUAGGUAUAGAUCAUUUUCACCUCGCAGAUCACGAUCUGGUUCUUUAAGGAGAUCAAGGUCUAGGUCCAGAUCACGCUCGAGAUCACGGUCUGCUGUCUGGCCCCGCAGCAGGUCUGGGUCCCAUGGUAGAUCUAAGUCUGGCUUACCUGCUAAAAGUCGCUCAAAGUCCAGAUCACCAUCUCCAAAGAGAAGUCAUUCGCCAUCAGGAAGCCCUUGAAAGGAGUGCAUGACCUGAGAGAGUGGAUUCAAAUUAAAAAAGUUAAAAGUUUAAAAAGAAUUUAUUUUGUUUACAUUAUUAUAAGGGAUUUUGUGGUGUCUUUAUAAAUGUAAGGGCUUAGUCCUAGAAGGCUAUUUCUAUCAACUAACAAUGGGCAUGACUCUGGAUCUUUUAAGUCUUAUUAGUAGACUAAUGCAAAACUCUUGUGUUAACGUUCUGUGAUCUGAAAAUGUUGGGCUUUUAUAUUGGCACAUUGAAAUAAACUGUAUUUCUAACGAAGUA
Nothoprocta perdicaria is the source of this 690-nucleotide long non-coding RNA. RefSeq lists it as uncharacterized. Lineage: Eukaryota; Metazoa; Chordata; Aves; Tinamiformes; Tinamidae. The transcript has 7 exons. The record is from RefSeq and is a predicted model, not a curated record.